AGAGAGAGAGAGAGAGAGCGUGUGUUGUUUUCUCCGGUGUGGCUAUUUGGGCCCUUGAAAAGUGUUAAAGAAGGAAACUUGGGAAAAGGCUUUGACCAUUUUCUGCAACCUAGUACCUUGUUUGGCUUAAUUUCACAAUCAGCCCCUUACAACGUAUCGGCUCUGAUCUUUAAUUUGUCACUUUGUAACUUUGCAAUAUUGAAAUAAAGUUUAUUAUUAAAUAAAGCUCAUAAAUAUAUAUAUAUGUGUGUAAUAGGAUUAAGGUCACGGGAUGGGUUAAACAAAAUUCUGAGGAGACUUCCAAAGGAAAUCCGGGGCGCAAGGUGGAGGGGGCAUUCUCUGGGACUGUAGGGAUUUUUAAAUUGCUGGUUUUGACAUAAUAUUUGCAAUUUUUAUGUAGUCUGGAUUUUGUGCUUUUAUCAAUAGCUUAAGAAUGACCUGGAUCUAGGCUUUAGAAAGGUUAUGGUGGAUAUGGACUCAAAGGUAG
Molecule: unclassified non-coding RNA, 487 nt
Filed under: Hevea brasiliensis (rubber tree)
Lineage: Eukaryota; Viridiplantae; Streptophyta; Magnoliopsida; Malpighiales; Euphorbiaceae
Source: RNAcentral